This 396-nucleotide ribosomal RNA is filed under the name uncultured bacterium. Its description in RNAcentral is "partial 16S ribosomal RNA". It matches the Rfam family "Bacterial small subunit ribosomal RNA", at positions 523 to 918 of the family's 1533-position model. The record is from RNAcentral.
AUACGUAGGUGACAAGCGUUAUCCGGAUUUACUGGGCGUAAAGGGCGUGUAGGCGGUCUUGCAAGUCAGAAGUGAAAUUCCUGAGCUCAACUCGGGCGCUGCUUCUGAAACUGCAGGACUUGAGUGCUGGAGGGGAUAGCGGAAUUCCUAGUGGAGCGGUAAAAUGCGCAGAUAUUAGGAAGAACACCGGUGGCGAAGGCGGCUACCUGGACAGUAACUGACGCUGAGGCACGAAAGCAUGGGUAGCAAACAGGAUUAGAUACCCUGGUAGUCCAUGCUGUAAACGAUGAUUACUAGGUGUGGGUGGACUGACCCCAUCCGUGCCGGAGUUAACACAUUAAGUAAUCCACCUGGGGAGUACGGCCGCAAGGUUGAAACUCAAAGGAAUUGACGGGG